Molecule: ribosomal RNA, 487 nt
Filed under: uncultured bacterium
Lineage: Bacteria
Description: bacterial SSU rRNA
Rfam family: Bacterial small subunit ribosomal RNA
Source: RNAcentral
GACGAACGCUAGCGGCAGGCCUAACACAUGCAAGUCGAGGGGUAACAUAGAAAAGCUUGCUUUUCUGAUGACGACCGGCGCACGGGUGCGUAACGCGUAUACAACCUACCUUUUAGCGGGGAAUAGCCCAGGGAAACUUGGAUUAAUGCCUCAUAGUAUAUAAGCUUCUCCUGAAGUUUAUAUUAAACAUUUAUGGCUAUUAGAUGGGUAUGCGUCCUAUUAGUUAGUUGGUAAGGUAACGGCUUACCAAGGCAGCGAUAGGUAGGGGUCCUGAGAGGGAGAUCCCCACACUGGUACUGAGACACGGACCAGACUCCUACGGGAGGCAGCAGUGAGGAAUAUUGGACAAUGGGCGAGAGCCUGAUCCAGCCAUGCCGCGUGCAGGAAGACUGCCCUAUGGGUUGUAAACUGCUUUUACAGAGGAAGAACCACCCCCACGUGUGGGGGUUUGACGGUACUCUGCGAAUAAGGAUCGGCUAACUCCGUG